ACCACAUUAGGACCGUCGGUCUAUCGAGUAAUUUCACCCGCUCGGUGGAAGAUCUUCCUUUUGUCGU
Molecule: microRNA precursor, 67 nt
Filed under: Bombyx mori (domestic silkworm)
Lineage: Eukaryota; Metazoa; Arthropoda; Insecta; Lepidoptera; Bombycidae
Description: mir-2774 microRNA precursor family
Rfam family: mir-2774 microRNA precursor family
Source: Rfam by way of RNAcentral